GACGAACGCUGGCGGCGUGCUUAACACAUGCAAGUCGAACGAUGAAGAAAAGAAUUGAAGCUUCGGCAGAAAUUCAUUUCGGAUUAGUGGCAGACGGGUGAGUAACGCGUGAGCAACCUACCUCUUACAAAGGGAUAGCCUCGGGAAACCGGGAUUAAUACCAUAUAACAUUGCGACGAAGCAUUUCGAUGCAAUCAAAGCUACGGCGGUAAGAGCUGGGCUCGCGUCCCAUUAACCAGAUGGUGAGGUAACGGCUCACCAUAGUAACGAUGGGUAACCGGACGGAGAGGGGGAACGGUAACACUGGAACUGAGACACGGUCCAGAAUCCUACGGGAGGAAGCAGUGGGGAAUAUUGCACAAGGGAGGGAACUCUGAGGCAGCGACGCCGCGUGAGUGAUGAAGGAAUUCGUUUCGUAAAACUCUGUUCUAUGGGAAGAAAAGGACUGUACCAUAGGAGAAAGCGCCGGCUAAAUACGUG
RNAcentral lists this ribosomal RNA (480 nucleotides) under uncultured bacterium. RNAcentral describes it as "partial 16S ribosomal RNA". It matches the Rfam family "Bacterial small subunit ribosomal RNA", at positions 28 to 507 of the family's 1533-position model. The record is from RNAcentral.